This 258-nucleotide ribosomal RNA is filed under the name uncultured bacterium. RNAcentral's name for it is "partial 16S ribosomal RNA". It matches the Rfam family "Bacterial small subunit ribosomal RNA", at positions 524 to 777 of the family's 1533-position model. The record is from RNAcentral.
UACGUAGGGGGCAAGCGUUGUCCGGAGUUACUGGGCGUAAAGCGCACGCAGGCGGUCUCUUUAAGUUUGGAGUGACAGUUGGUGGCUUAACUGCCAAAAGUGCUUCGAAAACUGAGAGACUUGAGGGGCUUCAGAGGGACACGGAAUUCCGGGUGGAGUGGUGAAAUGCGUAGAUAUCUGGAAGAACACCAAUGGCGAAGGCACCAUCCUGGGAAGCAUCGUGACGCUCAGGUGCGAAAGCUAGGGGAGCGAACGGGG